This 253-nucleotide ribosomal RNA is filed under the name uncultured bacterium. RNAcentral's name for it is "partial 16S ribosomal RNA". It matches the Rfam family "Bacterial small subunit ribosomal RNA", at positions 524 to 776 of the family's 1533-position model. The record is from RNAcentral.
UACAGAGGGGGCAAGCGUUGUUCGGAAUUACUGGGCGUAAAGGGCGCGUAGGCGGCCUUCUAAGUCGAACGUGAAAUCCCUGGGCUCAACCCAGGAACUGCGUCCGAUACUGAAAGGCUUGAAUCCGGGAGAGGGAUGCGGAAUUCCAGGUGUAGCGGUGAAAUGCGUAGAUAUCGGAAGGAACAUCAGUGGCGAAAGCGACUUCCUGGACCAGUACCGACGUUCAGGCACGAAAGCGUGGGGAGCAAACAGG